This 460-nucleotide ribosomal RNA is filed under the name uncultured bacterium. RNAcentral describes it as "partial 16S ribosomal RNA". It matches the Rfam family "Bacterial small subunit ribosomal RNA", at positions 338 to 795 of the family's 1533-position model. The record is from RNAcentral.
CCUACGGGAGGCAGCAGUGAGGAAUAUUGGUCAAUGGGCGCGAGCCUGAACCAGCCAAGUAGCGUGAAGGAUGACUGCCCUACGGGUUGUAACCUUCUUUUAUAAAGGAAUAAAGUGAGGCACGUGUGCCUUUUUGUAUGUCUUUUAUGAAUAAGGAUCGGCUAACUCCGUGCCAGCAGCCGCGGUAAUACGGAGGAACCGAGCGUUAUCCGGAUUUAGUGGGUUUAAAGGGAGCGUAGAUGGGUUGUUAAGUCAGUUGUGAAAGUUUGCGGCUCAACCGUAAAAUUGCAAUUGAUACUGGAAGGCUUGAGUAAAGUUGAGGUAGGCGGAAUUCGUGGUGUAGCGGUGAAAUGCUUAGAGAUCACGAAGAACUCCGAUUGCGAAGGCAGCUUACUAAACUGCCACUGACAUUGAUGCUCGAAAGUGUGGGUAUCAAACAGGAUUAGAUACCCGAGUAGUC